CCUGGCCCCCCCAAGAACGUGCAGGUGAAGGAGGUUUGGGGGUUCAACGCCCUGGUGGAGUGGGAGCCCCCCGAGGAUGACGGCAACGCCGAGGUCACGGGGUACACCGUCAUGAAGGCCGACAAGAGGACCAUGGAGUGGUUCACGGUGUACGAGCACAACCGGCCCACUCGCUGCACGGUGUCCGAGCUGGUGAUGGGCAACGAGUACCUGUUCAAGGUGUUCAGCGAGAACCUGUGCGGGCUCAGCGGCACCCCGGGCUCUCCAGCAACACUGCCCUCAUCCCCAAAGCUGAGCUGCGUCUGAAGCCCCCCAGUACCAGGAGCACGAUUUCCGCUCAGCCCCCAGUUCCUCACCCCCUCGUGGAUCGCAGCGCCGUGGCCGGAUAUUCCACCGCCCUCAACUGCGCUGU
Myiozetetes cayanensis is the source of this 412-nucleotide long non-coding RNA. RefSeq lists it as uncharacterized. NCBI's taxonomy places the organism in Eukaryota, Metazoa, Chordata, Aves, Passeriformes, Tyrannidae. The record is from RefSeq and is a predicted model, not a curated record. The transcript has 3 exons.